GACGAACGCUGGCGGCGUGCUUAACACAUGCAAGUCGAACGGAAAGGCCCUUCGGGGUACUCGAGUGGCGAACGGGCGAGUAACACGCGGGUGAUCUGCCCUGCACUCUGGGAUAAGCCUGGGAAACUGGGUCUAAUACCGGAUAGGACCACACACUUCAUGGUGAGUGGUGCAAAGCUUUUGCGGUGUGGGAUGAGCCCGCGGCCUAUCAGCUUGUUGGUGGGGUAAUGGCCCACCAAGGCGACGACGGGUAGCCGGCCUGAGAGGGUGACCGGCCACACUGGGACUGAGAUACGGCCCAGACUCCUACGGGAGGCAGCAGUGGGGAAUAUUGCACAAUGGGCGCAAGCCUGAUGCAGCGACGCCGCGUGAGGGAUGACGGCCUUCGGGUUGUAAACCUCUUUCAGUAGGGACGAAGCGAAAGUGACGGUACCUACAGAAGAAGGACCGGCCAACUACGUGCCAGCAGCCGCGGUAAUACGUAGGGUCCGAGCGUUGUCCGGAAUUACUGGGCGUAAAGAGCUCGUAGGUGGUUUGUCGCGUUGUUCGUGAAAACUCACAGCUUAACUGUGGGCGUGCGGGCGAUACGGGCAGACUAGAGUACUGCAGGGGAGACUGGAAUUCCUGGUGUAGCGGUGGAAUGCGCAGAUAUCAGGAGGAACACCGGUGGCGAAGGCGGGUCUCUGGGCAGUAACUGACGCUGAGGAGCGAAAGCGUGGGUAGCGAACAGGAUUAGAUACCCUGGUAGUCCACGCCGUAAACGGUGGGUACUAGGUGUGGGUUUCCUUCCUUGGGAUCCGUGCCGUAGCUAACGCAUUAAGUACCCCGCCUGGGGAGUACGGUCGCAAGACUAAAACUCAAAGGACUUGACGGGGGCCCGCACAAGCGGCGGAGCAUGUGGAUUAAUUCGAUGCAACGCGAAGAACCUUACCUGGGUUUGACAUGCACAGGACGUACCUAGAGAUAGGUAUUCCCUUGUGGCCUGUGUGCAGGUGGUGCAUGGCUGUCGUCAGCUCGUGUCGUGAGAUGUUGGGUUAAGUCCCGCAACGAGCGCAACCCUUGUCCUAUGUUGCCAGCGGGUAAUGCCGGGGACUCGUAGGAGACUGCCGGGGUCAACUCGGAGGAAGGUGGGGAUGACGUCAAGUCAUCAUGCCCCUUAUGUCCAGGGCUUCACACAUGCUACAAUGGCCAGUACAGAGGGCUGCGAAGCCGCAAGGUGGAGCGAAUCCCUUAAAGCUGGUCUCAGUUCGGAUUGGGGUCUGCAACUCGACCCCAUGAAGUCGGAGUCGCUAGUAAUCGCAGAUCAGCAACGCUGCGGUGAAUACGUUCCCGGGCCUUGUACACACCGCCCGUCACGUCAUGAAAGUCGGUAACACCCGAAGCCAGUGGCCUGACCUUUUGGAGGAAGGUGUCGAAGGUGGGAUCGGCGAUUGGGAC
Molecule: ribosomal RNA, 1437 nt
Filed under: uncultured bacterium
Lineage: Bacteria
Description: bacterial SSU rRNA
Rfam family: Bacterial small subunit ribosomal RNA
Source: RNAcentral